AUUCAUCUGACGAGUCUCAAAUAGGACGAAACGUGCGUCCUGGAU
RNAcentral lists this non-coding RNA (45 nucleotides) under Schistosoma mansoni. The record is from RNAcentral. Lineage: Eukaryota; Metazoa; Platyhelminthes; Trematoda; Strigeidida; Schistosomatidae.